UGGUCGUCCCCUGUCCCUUUUGGAUGG
This 27-nucleotide small RNA is filed under the name Bombyx mori (domestic silkworm). RNAcentral's name for it is "ovarian small RNA-35154". Lineage: Eukaryota; Metazoa; Arthropoda; Insecta; Lepidoptera; Bombycidae. The record is from RNAcentral.